AACGCACCUUGCGCCCUUUGGUAUUCCGAAGGGCAUGCCUGUUUGAGUGUCAUUUAUAUUCUCAACUUCAAGAAUAAUAUAUUUUUGAAGCUUGGACUGUGGAGGGCUUUGCUGGCAAUGAUCAUUUUGUUGGCUCCUCUUAAAUGCAUUAGCAGAACCUUUGAAUGAAAAAAAGGAUCAGCUCUGGUUUUGAUAAUUAAUAUCUAUAUGCCGUUGCUGAGAUGUUUUUCUGUUCAGCUUUCUAAUAGUCUUCGGACUGUCUCUCUCUCUAUAUAAGAGGGCAUAUACAUAUAAAGCUUGAUCUCAAAUCAGGUAGGAUUACCCGCUGAACUUAA
RNAcentral lists this unclassified non-coding RNA (335 nucleotides) under uncultured fungus. Its description in RNAcentral is "sequence contains ITS2". The stretch from base 1 to 52 matches the Rfam family "5.8S ribosomal RNA", at positions 103 to 154 of the family's 154-position model. The record is from RNAcentral. Lineage: Eukaryota; Fungi.